AAAAUGGCAAACCUUGGGUUUCCGUGUCCAACUUUAUUUGUUCGUCUUAUAUGAAAUUUUUUUAUAAUUCGUAUUUUUAUUGUUGUUAGAUGAUAAAACAUGAUUAAUAUUUUAUACGUGACUUGUCUUUUUAAUUUUUUCAUAAUUUUUUCAAAUAAAACGGACGGUCAAACGUUGGACACGGAAAUCAGGGUUUGUCUUUUU
Oryza glumipatula is the source of this 204-nucleotide non-coding RNA. The record is from Rfam. Lineage: Eukaryota; Viridiplantae; Streptophyta; Magnoliopsida; Poales; Poaceae.